Molecule: ribosomal RNA, 315 nt
Filed under: uncultured eukaryote
Lineage: Eukaryota
Description: partial 18S ribosomal RNA
Rfam family: Eukaryotic small subunit ribosomal RNA
Source: RNAcentral
CCCUUAGAUGUUCUGGGCUGCACGCGCGCUACACUGACGCACGCAACAGGUGCCUGCUCCGAGAGGACUGGGUAAUCAUUUGAGUGUGCGUCGUGAUGGGGAUAGAAUAUUGUAAUUAUUACUCUUCAACGAGGAAUUCCUAGUAAGCGCAAGUCAGCAGCUUGCGCUGAUUACGUCCCUGCCCUUUGUACACACCGCCCGUCGCUCCUACCGAUGGGUGAUCCGGUGAAUGAUUCGGACUUCAGCGGCUCCUCUGGGGUGCGCCGGAGAAAGUUUUGUGAACCUUAUCACUUGGAGGAAGGAGAAGUCGUAACA